Long non-coding RNA from Rhineura floridana, 285 nucleotides. RefSeq lists it as uncharacterized. NCBI's taxonomy places the organism in Eukaryota, Metazoa, Chordata, Lepidosauria, Squamata, Rhineuridae. The record is from RefSeq and is a predicted model, not a curated record. The transcript is spliced from 3 exons.
UGGGGGUGGUGAUCACUCCACCCGAAGGAUGAAAAUGCAGGAGUGCAGAAUCUUGUAUAGGUAUCUCUUGCCAAAGAAACCGUACCUUGGAGGAGUGGAUGAGGAAGAUGGCUUAUCAGAAACCUAAGUAUGCAACAAAAACGAAAAAAAGGAAGGAGAAAGAUUUUACUCAGAAAGUACAUCCAGCUAUUUCUCAGACAUUGAAAUACAACCACUUUAGGGAUGGAGCCUGGCAGCUACUUGAUACCAAACAAACAAUGCUCCCAAGAGCCAAGAGGAAGAAGU